This 525-nucleotide ribosomal RNA is filed under the name Cladosporium sp. PQM09. RNAcentral's name for it is "eukaryotic LSU rRNA". It matches the Rfam family "Eukaryotic large subunit ribosomal RNA", at positions 51 to 582 of the family's 3401-position model. Lineage: Eukaryota; Fungi; Ascomycota; Dothideomycetes; Cladosporiales; Cladosporiaceae. The record is from RNAcentral.
CGGAGGAAAAGAAACCAACAGGGAUUGCUCUAGUAACGGCGAGUGAAGCAGCAAUAGCUCAAAUUUGAAAUCUGGCGUCUUCGACGUCCGAGUUGUAAUUUGUAGAGGAUGCUUCUGAGUAACCACCGACCUAAGUUCCUUGGAACAGGACGUCAUAGAGGGUGAGAAUCCCGUAUGCGGUCGGAAAGGUGCUCUAUACGUAGCUCCUUCGACGAGUCGAGUUGUUUGGGAAUGCAGCUCUAAAUGGGAGGUAAAUUUCUUCUAAAGCUAAAUAUUGGCCAGAGACCGAUAGCGCACAAGUAGAGUGAUCGAAAGAUGAAAAGCACUUUGGAAAGAGAGUUAAAAAGCACGUGAAAUUGUUAAAAGGGAAGGGAUUGCAACCAGACUUGCUCGCGGUGUUCCGCCGGUCUUCUGACCGGUCUACUCGCCGCGUUGCAGGCCAGCAUCGUCUGGUGCCGCUGGAUAAGACUUGAGGAAUGUAGCUCCCUCGGGAGUGUUAUAGCCUCUUGUGAUGCAGCGAGCGCC